UUGCCACUUUCUGAAUGUCCUUAACAUGAGCGGAGGCAAAAAUCCGUAGCUUCCAACCGUGAGCUCUCGCUGCCAUUUCCGCUGUGGUAAAAGUUCCCAACCAAAUUCUUGACUUCUUGUUGGGUCCUCUGACUUCACACACCCACUUAGCUGAGAUCCUUCACCUCAUACCACGAUAAACUGGAUGCCUCCUCUCACAGAACUUCUUCCUCCCCCGUCUUUCAGGUAUUUCUUAGUGAACCCAUUUCUUAUUUCCUUGUUCAAAGUCACUAGAUUGCAGAUAGGAAGACAAAAAUAAUGAUUUGAAAUAAAGAGGAGUGAGAACGCUCAAAAAAAACCUACUCAUCUAUCAGUGGAAUAUGUGCACACUGGCGGAUCCAGGCACGGGCUCGACCGUGUUAUAGCAUGUGUCCACCCCUAAAAAUGCCUAUUUUUUUUCCAGUUUUAUUUUUUUAAAGAUAAAUCCAUGUAUAUUUAUAUUGUAAUCCGUGUCCAAACUCAAGGCUGGAUUCGCUAAUGUGCAGGGAACGAGACCUAUACAAGAAAAGUUUGAAUAGUAAUGGAGGUUAAGGUUUGAAAAUGAUAUCCACUAACAGAAGGGCAUAAAACUGAAACUUGAAGAGUGGUGAUGUUGGAAAGGAGGAGGCAAACUUGAUGGGGCUGUGGUGGUGGGUUUUUUGGUUGAGUUUAGGGGUAGGUGGGGUGUGGGAAAGAUAAGAUGAAUAGGGUAUUUUAUUUUUCGAUUUUUGAUUUUAUGUUUUUUUUAAAUUUAAUUCAGAAGUUAUCAUUUUGUCCCCUCUAAAAUUGGUCAAAGACAAUUGAUUGUGUCAACUAAAAGUCAAACUAACAAAAAUCAUCCAUUUGGACCCCGAGUGUUAAUUUUUGAAAGGUUUGGAAUUGUGAACGUCACAAAGUAAAGAUUAAGGUAAAGCCUACAAAAUGGUGAUGGGUUUGGAAUUGAUGUUGCAAUUAUCCCUAUUAUUAAUUACACAGUCUAAUUUUUUAAGCAAAUAAAUUAUCUUUAUUCAGUCGAUCAUAGUAGUAGUGGGAGAGGAUAGGAUCGGAAAUCCCUUAUCCUCUACCAUAUAUAAUAUAUAUGCUAUGAAGAAUAAUCAAGUAGUCUAUUGUCAAAUCAUUUGAAUAAAUGCUAGGAAAAAAAAUGGAAAUCGAACAUUGAUGAAAUGAUCCACCUUAUUAUUUAUGUGACUAAUAUUCAUCCAAAUUAUUUAAGCCAUAUUCUCAUAAUUUUAAGUGAUAUCUAAAUUAUAUAUUUUUUUUGUUCAAUCGGGUCUAAUGAACUUGUGAAUAACUAUCCGACAAAGUAUAUCUCAAUCAAGAUAAUGGAUUCAUUUCUUGUAUUAUGAAUAGGGUCGAUUAUAAUUACUUAUAAAAAGUCAUUCUUUCAAAGAAACGGUUUAAUCAUAUCUCGAGAAUAAUUUAUAAUCAAGAACAAGCUUAUAAUGAGUGAGAUGCACCAAACUCUUGAAUGUGCCUUCGCUUCCACUACUUUUUUUGUUCCUAAGAUGCCAAUUAAUUCUUCACCCGCUUUGUUUUAAUUGUUUCUGUCUUGUUUAUAUAUUUAAAUACUAAUAAAAUGUUACCAACCAAAACUCACCAAACCAAGCUAAACACCUUCGGCCCCUUUUUUGGUUUUCACCAAAAAAAAAUAAAAAUAAAAAUAAAAAAAUUACAAAAACCUAAAGAUGAAAAAGAAAUAAAGUUGUCAUCACUUUGAGAGUCAUUUUUAAAAGACAAAGCUGAUUCGAAGAUGGUAUCUUCGACAAUACUUCAAGCAUUGAUCGAUGAUGGGGAAGCCAUUAGUUUUACCGGUGAAGUUUAUUAUUUUUUAAUUUACUUGUUUUAUUUUUCUAAUAAGUCAUGGAAUAUGAACGCAUAACUUUAGAUGUUCAUUUUUCCGACCAUAACGGGUGUUACAUUCCAUUUUGCACUUUUAAUUGAAUCAUUACCCUUGAUGAUUGCACAUUUGUCUGUAAUUGUAGACAACAAUCAUCGAUAGCGCUUUGUUUACUUAUCAUCAACAUAGAAGCAUUUGUUUUCUUUACUUUUUUCUCAUUAAAAAGUUAUUGAUGAAAAUAUUAUAUAUGUCAUUAAUUUAAGCUAUCUUCCUCCUUUUCAAAUUUUAAUUUGAAAUAUUAGCGUUAUAUUUUAAGUUAUAAUUUCAUUACCAAUGAAAUUUUUCGUUGCUACUUUGUUUAUUACGAAGAUUAUGUUGAUAAAUUAUUUAUUUCAUAUUAAUAUUUGCUAUUUGGAAUGACCACGAGCUUCUUAAUAUAUCAUGAUCGAUGUAAUUUUCACAUUAAGGAUAUAUUAUCAUUGACACCCUUGAGGCCUGCUCCUUAAGAAGUCGAAAAACUUUCAAAUCAUCCUAUUAUUUAUCCUCUAUAAUCACAACUAUAAUUUGAGUAAAUCAUAUUUGAAAAUGGACCAUUGAUCGACAAGGGGACCCUUAAUAAAAGAGGAAUUGAAAAUAAUGUAAAAUGAAGUGUCAAAAUUGGUAAACCGGACAAACUAAAAACAUGACAUUAUGGAAAAAUUUAGUGCCAACAUUUGGAGGAAUCGAAUGUACAUAAAAAUUGGCAGUGGGAAUCCUAUCCAUUGUUACAAGAUAUGAUUAAGAAAUGGUCAAUAUAAUGCAUGUGAACUUUAUUGGACUUGACCCACAUUCUUCAAAUGUUUUUACAUAUUUUGACAACUUAAAAAUAAGUAUAAUGAUUUUAGAAUAAUAAUUUAUUUUACGCUAUGAAUUUCUGUUAUAGUAACUUAAUUAUCUUCAACUUUGAAUAGUAAAAGAAUUUUACAUUUUUGUGUAGGUAAAUUGUUCAAGUACAGUCAACUCCAAGAGUCAAGUAGAUGUCAACGUCAAAUUUUGGUUGAUCGAAUGUUUACAUAACGGUCCAAUCCUCAUAUUUGAAAAACGACCUUAGCAUAGUCCAAACUAUAUUUUUAGACGGGUUGGUUCGUAUCUCC
RNAcentral lists this long non-coding RNA (2988 nucleotides) under Olea europaea (common olive). RNAcentral's name for it is "long non-coding RNA (OEUR_LNC009310)". The record is from RNAcentral. Lineage: Eukaryota; Viridiplantae; Streptophyta; Magnoliopsida; Lamiales; Oleaceae.